UACGUAGGGCGCAAGCGUUGUCCGGAAUUAUUGGGCGUAAAGCGCGUGUAGGCGGUUCAGUAAGUCUGCUGUGAAAGUCCAGGGCUCAACCCUGGGAUGCCGGUGGAUACUGCUGGGCUAGAGUACGGAAGAGGCGAGUGGAAUUCCCGGUGUAGCGGUGAAAUGCGCAGAUAUCGGGAGGAACACCAAUUGCGAAGGCAGCUCGCUGGGACGUCACUGACGCUGAGACGCGAAAGCGUGGGGAGCAAACAGG
Molecule: ribosomal RNA, 253 nt
Filed under: uncultured bacterium
Lineage: Bacteria
Description: partial 16S ribosomal RNA
Rfam family: Bacterial small subunit ribosomal RNA
Source: RNAcentral